GAGACAGCAGCAGCCGCGGGAAAACGUAGGUGGCAAGCGUUGUCCGGAAUUAUUGGGCGUAAAGGGCUCGCAGGCGGUUUCUUAAGUCUGAUGUGAAAGCCCCCGGCUCAACCGGGGAGGGUCAUUGGAAACUGGGAAACUUGAGUGCAGAAGAGGAGAGUGGGAUUCCACGUGUAGCGGUGAAAUGCGUAGAGAUGUGGAGGAACACCAGUGGCGAAGGCGACUCUCUGGUCUGUAACUGACGCUGAGGAGCGAAAGCGUGGGGAGCGAACAGGAUUAGAUACCCCCGUAGUCCCUGUCUCUUAUAC
RNAcentral lists this ribosomal RNA (308 nucleotides) under uncultured bacterium. RNAcentral describes it as "partial 16S ribosomal RNA". It matches the Rfam family "Bacterial small subunit ribosomal RNA", at positions 505 to 807 of the family's 1533-position model. The record is from RNAcentral.